This 1506-nucleotide ribosomal RNA is filed under the name metagenome. RNAcentral's name for it is "bacterial SSU rRNA". It matches the Rfam family "Bacterial small subunit ribosomal RNA". The record is from RNAcentral.
AGAGUUUGAUCCUGGCUCAGGACGAACGCUGGCGGCGUGCCUAAUACAUGCAAGUAGAACGCUGAAGAGAGGAGCUUGCUCUUCUUGGAUGAGUUGCGAACGGGUGAGUAACGCGUAGGUAACCUGCCUUGUAGCGGGGGAUAACUAUUGGAAACGAUAGCUAAUACCGCAUAACAAUGGAUGACCCAUGUCAUUUAUUUGAAAGGGGCAAAUGCUCCACUACAAGAUGGACCUGCGUUGUAUUAGCUAGUAGGUGAGGUAACGGCUCACCUAGGCGACGAUACAUAGCCGACCUGAGAGGGUGAUCGGCCACACUGGGACUGAGACACGGCCCAGACUCCUACGGGAGGCAGCAGUAGGGAAUCUUCGGCAAUGGGGGCAACCCUGACCGAGCAACGCCGCGUGAGUGAAGAAGGUUUUCGGAUCGUAAAGCUCUGUUGUAAGUCAAGAACGAGUGUGAGAGUGGAAAGUUCACACUGUGACGGUAGCUUACCAGAAAGGGACGGCUAACUACGUGCCAGCAGCCGCGGUAAUACGUAGGUCCCGAGCGUUGUCCGGAUUUAUUGGGCGUAAAGCGAGCGCAGGCGGUUUGAUAAGUCUGAAGUUAAAGGCUGUGGCUCAACCAUAGUUCGCUUUGGAAACUGUCAAACUUGAGUGCAGAAGGGUAGAGUGGAAUUCCAUGUGUAGCGGUGAAAUGCGUAGAUAUAUGGAGGAACACCGGUGGCGAAAGCGGCUCUCUGGUCUGUAACUGACGCUGAGGCUCGAAAGCGUGGGGAGCGAACAGGAUUAGAUACCCUGGUAGUCCACGCCGUAAACGAUGAGUGCUAGGUGUUGGAUCCUUUCCGGGAUUCAGUGCCGCAGCUAACGCAUUAAGCACUCCGCCUGGGGAGUACGACCGCAAGGUUGAAACUCAAAGGAAUUGACGGGGGCCCGCACAAGCGGUGGAGCAUGUGGUUUAAUUCGAAGCAACGCGAAGAACCUUACCAGGUCUUGACAUCCCGAUGCUAUUUCUAGAGAUAGAAAGAUACUUCGGUACAUCGGUGACAGGUGGUGCAUGGUUGUCGUUAGCUCGUGUCGUGAGAUGUUGGGUUAAGUCCCGCAACGAGCGCAACCCCUAUUGUUAGUUGCCAUCAUUCAGUUGGGCACUCUAGCGAGACUGCCGGUAAUAAACCGGAGGAAGGUGGGGAUGACGUCAAAUCAUCAUGCCCCUUAUGACCUGGGCUACACACGUGCUACAAUGGUUGGUACAACGAGUUGCGAGUCGGUGACGGCAAGCUAAUCUCUUAAAGCCAAUCUCAGUUCGGAUUGUAGGCUGCAACUCGCCUACAUGAAGUCGGAAUCGCUAGUAAUCGCGGAUCAGCACGCCGCGGUGAAUACGUUCCCGGGCCUUGUACACACCGCCCGUCACACCACGAGAGUUUGUAACACCCGAAGUCGGUGAGGUAACCUUUUGGAGCCAGCCGCCUAAGGUGGGAUAGAUGAUUGGGGUGAAGUCGUAACAAGGUA